UCGACCUGAGCUCAGGCAAGACUACCCGCUGAACUUAAGCAUAUCAAUAAGCGGAGGAAAAGAAAUCAACCGAGAUGCCCUUAGUAACGGCGAGCGAACCGGGCAAAGCCCAACUUGAAAAUCUCCAGCCUAUGGCUGGCGAAUUGUAGUCUAGAGAAGCGCUCUCUGCCCCACCCCGGCCCCAAGUCCCCUGGAAAGGGGCGUCAAAGAGGGUGAGAACCCCGUUGGGACCGGAUUUUGGGGCUCCACGAGACGCUUUCGUAGAGUCGGGUUGCUUGGGAAUGCAGCCCAAAGAAGGUGGUAAAUCCCAUCUAAGGCUAAAUACAGACGGGAGACCGAUAGCGAACAAGUACCGUGAGGGAAAGAUGAAAAGAACUUUGAAAAGAGAGUUAAAAAGUACUUGAAAUUGUUGAGAGGGAAGCGAUUGGAUCCUACGGGUGCGCCCAGGCACACGCCUGCCUAACGGUUGGCUGAAUGCGCUGGGUGCUGGUCAGCAUGGGUUGUCCGGGCGGGAUAAAACCGGGGGUUGUUACCCCGGCUAUGUCGCCUGGCCGACCGAGGAACGAAGGGCGCUCUUUGAGUCCUCCGGGAACUGCGCCCUCAAGAUGCUGCC
This 613-nucleotide ribosomal RNA is filed under the name Chlorella vulgaris. RNAcentral describes it as "eukaryotic LSU rRNA". It matches the Rfam family "Eukaryotic large subunit ribosomal RNA", at positions 1 to 629 of the family's 3401-position model. The record is from RNAcentral. Lineage: Eukaryota; Viridiplantae; Chlorophyta; Trebouxiophyceae; Chlorellales; Chlorellaceae.